UUAAACUGCUUGGGAAACUGAUAGUCUAGAGUGAGGGAGAGGUAGAUGGAAUUGGUGGUGUAGGGGUAAAAUCCGUAGAUAUCACCAAGAAUACCCAUUGCGAAGGCGAUCUGCUGGAACUCAACUGACGCUAAGGCGCGAAAGCGUGGGGAGCAAACAGGAUUAGAUACCCUGGUAGUCCACGCCCUAAACGAUGUACACUAGUUGUUGGGAUGCUAGUCAUCUCAGUAAUGCAGCUAACGCAUUAAGUGUACCGCCUGGGGAGUACGGUCGCAAGAUUAAAACUCAAAGGAAUAGACGGGGACCCGCACAAGCGGUGGAGCAUGUGGUUUAAUUCGAAGAUACGCGAAGAACCUUACCUGGGCUUGAUAUCCUAAGAACCUUAUAGAGAUAUGAGGGUGCUAGCUUGCUAGAACUUAGAGACAGGUGCUGCACGGCUGUCGUCAGCUCGUGUCGUGAGAUGUUGGGUUAAGUCCCGCAACGAGCGCAACCCACGUAUUUAGUUGCUAACGGUUCGGCCGAGCACUCUAAAUAGACUGCCUUCGUAAGGAGGAGGAAGGUGUGGACGACGUCAAGUCAUCAUGGCCCUUAUGCCCAGGGCGACACACGUGCUACAAUGGCAUAUACAAUGAGACGCAAUACCGCGAGGUGGAGCAAAUCUAUAAAAUAUGUCCCAGUUCGGAUUGUUCUCUGCAACUCGAGAGCAUGAAGCCGGAAUCGCUAGUAAUCGUAGAUCAGCCAUGCUACGGUGAAUACGUUCCCGGGUCUUGUACUCACCGCCCGUCACACCAUGGGAGUUGAUUUCACUCGAAGCCGGAAUACUAA
Molecule: ribosomal RNA, 825 nt
Filed under: Campylobacter jejuni
Lineage: Bacteria; Pseudomonadati; Campylobacterota; Epsilonproteobacteria; Campylobacterales; Campylobacteraceae
Description: bacterial SSU rRNA
Rfam family: Bacterial small subunit ribosomal RNA
Source: RNAcentral